This 329-nucleotide ribosomal RNA is filed under the name uncultured Glomus. Its description in RNAcentral is "SSU rRNA". It matches the Rfam family "Eukaryotic small subunit ribosomal RNA", at positions 569 to 908 of the family's 1831-position model. The record is from RNAcentral. Lineage: Eukaryota; Fungi; Glomeromycota; Glomeromycetes; Glomerales; Glomeraceae.
AGCAGCCGCGGUAAUUCCAGCUCCAAUAGCGUAUAUUAAAGUUGUUGCAGUUAAAAAGCUCGUAGUUGAAUUUCGGGGUUAGUAGGUUGGUCGUGCCACUGGUACGUACUGGUCUCACUGACUCCUCCUUCCUGAUGAACUGUAAUGCCAUUAAUUUGGUGUUGCAGGGAACUGGACUGUUACUUGAAAAAUUGAGUGUUUAAAGCAAGCUAACGCUUGAAUACAUUAGCAUGGAAUAAUGAAAUAGGACGUUCGAUCCUAUUUUGUUGGUUCUAGGAUUGACGUAAUGAUUAAUAGGGAUAGUUGGGGCAUUAGUAUUCAAUUGUCAG